ACCAGGAGCAGUGGUGCAUGCCUGUAGUCCCAGCUACUUGGGAGGCUGAGGCUGGAGGAUCGCUUGAGUCCAGGAGUUCUGGGCUGUCGUGUGCUAUGCUGAUCGGGUGUCCGCACUAAGUUCAGCAUCAAUAUGGUGACCUCCCAGGAGCGGAGGACCACCAGGUUGCCUAAGAAGGGGUGAACUGGCCCAGGUCAGAAACAGAGCAGGUCAGAACUCCUGUGCUGAUCAGUAUAUGAUCUGUGUCAUUGAAUCCUCCAUGUGUGCUUGGAAAAAAAAAAAAAAAAAACAUGUAUUAU
Oryctolagus cuniculus (rabbit) is the source of this 299-nucleotide unclassified non-coding RNA. It matches the Rfam family "Metazoan signal recognition particle RNA". Rfam says of the family: The signal recognition particle (SRP) is a universally conserved ribonucleoprotein. It is involved in the co-translational targeting of proteins to membranes. The record is from Ensembl. NCBI's taxonomy places the organism in Eukaryota, Metazoa, Chordata, Mammalia, Lagomorpha, Leporidae.